RNAcentral lists this ribosomal RNA (275 nucleotides) under uncultured bacterium. Its description in RNAcentral is "partial 16S ribosomal RNA". It matches the Rfam family "Bacterial small subunit ribosomal RNA", at positions 338 to 623 of the family's 1533-position model. The record is from RNAcentral.
CCUACGGGAGGCAGCAGUGGGAAUAUUGCACAAUGGGCGAAAGCCUGAUGCAGCGACGCCGCGUGAGGGAUGACGGCCUUCGGGUUGUAAACCUCUUUCAGCAGGGAAGAAGCGUAGAGUGACGGUAACCUGCAGAAGAAGCGCCGGCUAACUACGUGCCAGCAGCCGCGGUAAUACGUAGGGCGCAAGCGUUGUCCGGAAUUAUUGGGCGUAAAGAGCUCGUAGGCGGCUUGUUGCGUACGGUUGUGAAAGCCCGGGGNUUAACCCCGGGUCUG